RNAcentral lists this ribosomal RNA (460 nucleotides) under uncultured bacterium. Its description in RNAcentral is "partial 16S ribosomal RNA". It matches the Rfam family "Bacterial small subunit ribosomal RNA", at positions 338 to 795 of the family's 1533-position model. The record is from RNAcentral.
CCUACGGGUGGCAGCAGUGAGGAAUAUUGGUCAAUGGACGAAAGUCUGAACCAGCCAAGUAGCGUGAAGGAUGACUGCCCUAUGGAUUGUAAACUUCUUUUAUAUGGGAAUAAAAUGUUCCACGUGUGGGAUUUUGUAUGUACCAUAUGAAUAAGGAUCGGCUAACUCCGUGCCAGCAGCCGCGGUAAUACGGAGGAUCCGAGCGUUAUCCGGAUUUAGUGGGUUUAAAGGGAGCGUAGGUAGAUUGUUAAGUCAGUUGUGAAAGUUUGCGGCACAACCGUAAAAGUGCAGUUGACACUGGCAGUCUUGAGUACGGUAGAGGUGGGCGGAAUUCGUGGUGUAGCGGUGAAAUGCGUAGAUAUCACGAAGAAAUCCGAUUGCGAAGGCAGUUCACUGGACUGCAACUGACACUGAGGCUCGAAAGUGUGGGUAUCAAACAGGAUUAGAUACCCUAGUAGUC